AGAGUUUGAUCAUGGCUCAGAUUGAACGCUGGCGGCAGGCCUAACACAUGCAAGUCGAACGGUAACAGGAAGCAGCUUGCUGCUUUGCUGACGAGUGGCGGACGGGUGAGUAAUGUCUGGGAAACUGCCUGAUGGAGGGGGAUAACUACUGGAAACGGUGGCUAAUACCGCAUAACGUCGCAAGACCAAAGAGGGGGACCUUCGGGCCUCUUGCCAUCAGAUGUGCCCAGAUGGGAUUAGCUUGUUGGUGAGGUAACGGCUCACCAAGGCGACGAUCCCUAGCUGGUCUGAGAGGAUGACCAGCCACACUGGAACUGAGACACGGUCCAGACUCCUACGGGAGGCAGCAGUGGGGAAUAUUGCACAAUGGGCGCAAGCCUGAUGCAGCCAUGCCACGUGUAUGAAGAAGGCCUUCGGGUUGUAAAGUACUUUCAGCGGGGAGGAAGGUGUUGUGGUUAAUAACCGCAGCAAUUGACGUUACCCGCAGAAGAAGCACCGGCUAACUCCGUGCCAGCAGCCGCGGUAAUACGGAGGGUGCAAGCGUUAAUCGGAAUUACUGGGCGUAAAGCGCACGCAGGCGGUCUGUCAAGUCGGAUGUGAAAUCCCCGGGCUCAACCUGGGAACUGCAUUCGAAACUGGCAGGCUUGAGUCUUGUAGAGGGGGGUAGAAUUCCAGGUGUAGCGGUGAAAUGCGUAGAGAUCUGGAGGAAUACCGGUGGCGAAGGCGGCCCCCUGGACAAAGACUGACGCUCAGGUGCGAAAGCGUGGGGAGCAAACAGGAUUAGAUACCCUGGUAGUCCACGCCGUAAACGAUGUCUACUUGGAGGUUGUGCCCUUGAGGCGUGGCUUCCGGAGCUAACGCGUUAAGUAGACCGCCUGGGGAGUACGGCCGCAAGGUUAAAACUCAAAUGAAUUGACGGGGGCCCGCACAAGCGGUGGAGCAUGUGGUUUAAUUCGAUGCAACGCGAAGAACCUUACCUGGUCUUGACAUCCACAGAACUUUCCAGAGAUGGAUUGGUGCCUUCGGGAACUGUGAGACAGGUGCUGCAUGGCUGUCGUCAGCUCGUGUUGUGAAAUGUUGGGUUAAGUCCCGCAACGAGCGCAACCCUUAUCCUUUGUUGCCAGCGGUCCGGCCGGGAACUCAAAGGAGACUGCCAGUGAUAAACUGGAGGAAGGUGGGGAUGACGUCAAGUCAUCAUGGCCCUUACGACCAGGGCUACACACGUGCUACAAUGGCGCAUACAAAGAGAAGCGACCUCGCGAGAGCAAGCGGACCUCAUAAAGUGCGUCGUAGUCCGGAUUGGAGUCUGCAACUCGACUCCAUGAAGUCGGAAUCGCUAGUAAUCGUGGAUCAGAAUGCCACGGUGAAUACGUUCCCGGGCCUUGUACACACCGCCCGUCACACCAUGGGAGUGGGUUGCAAAAGAAGUAGGUAGCUUAACCUUCGGGAGGGCGCUUACCACUUUGUGAUUCAUGACUGGGGUGAAGUCGUAACAAGGUAACCGUAGGGGAACCUGCGGUUG
This 1522-nucleotide ribosomal RNA is filed under the name Salmonella enterica subsp. enterica serovar Typhi. RNAcentral's name for it is "bacterial SSU rRNA". It matches the Rfam family "Bacterial small subunit ribosomal RNA". Lineage: Bacteria; Pseudomonadati; Pseudomonadota; Gammaproteobacteria; Enterobacterales; Enterobacteriaceae. The record is from RNAcentral.